UGGGGAAUAUUGCACAAUGGGCGGAAGCCUGAUGCAGCAACGCCGCGUGCGGGAUGACGGCCUUCGGGUUGUAAACCGCUUUCAGUAGGGACGAAGCGCAAGUGACGGUACCUACAGAAGAAGCACCGGCUAACUACGUGCCAGCAGCCGCGGUGAUACGUAGGGUGCGAGCGUUGUCCGGCAUUAUUGGGCGUAAAGAGCUUGUAGGCGGUUGGUUGCGUCGUAAGUGAAAACUCAGGGCUUAACCCUGGGCUUGCUUGCGAUACGGGCUGACUUGAGGAAGGGAGGGGAGAAUGGAAUGCCCGGUGUAGCGGUGGAAUGCGCAGAGAUCGGGAGGAACACCAGUGGCGAAGGCGGUUCUCUGGACCUUUCCUGACGCUGAGAAGCGAAAGCGUGGGGAGCAAACA
Molecule: ribosomal RNA, 407 nt
Filed under: uncultured prokaryote
Description: bacterial SSU rRNA
Rfam family: Bacterial small subunit ribosomal RNA
Source: RNAcentral